This 465-nucleotide ribosomal RNA is filed under the name uncultured bacterium. RNAcentral describes it as "bacterial SSU rRNA". It matches the Rfam family "Bacterial small subunit ribosomal RNA", at positions 338 to 795 of the family's 1533-position model. The record is from RNAcentral.
CCUACGGGAUGCAGCAGUGGGGAAUUUUGGACAAUGGGCGAAAGCCUGAUCCAGCAAUGCCGCGUGCAGGAUGAAGGCCUUCGGGUUGUAAACUGCUUUUGUACGGAACGAAAAAGCUCCUUCUAAUACAGGGGGCCCAUGACGGUACCGUAAGAAUAAGCACCGGCUAACUACGUGCCAGCAGCCGCGGUAAUACGUAGGGUGCGAGCGUUAAUCGGAAUUACUGGGCGUAAAGCGUGCGCAGGCGGUUAUGUAAGACAGAUGUGAAAUCCCCGGGCUCAACCUGGGAACUGCAUUUGUGACUGCAUGGCUAGAGUACGGUAGAGGGGGAUGGAAUUCCGCGUGUAGCAGUGAAAUGCGUAGAUAUGCGGAGGAACACCGAUGGCGAAGGCAAUCCCCUGGACCUGUACUGACGCUCAUGCACGAAAGCGUGGGGAGCAAACAGGAUUAGAUACCCGUGUAGUC